Molecule: long non-coding RNA, 582 nt
Organism: Lolium perenne
Lineage: Eukaryota; Viridiplantae; Streptophyta; Magnoliopsida; Poales; Poaceae
Source: RefSeq, a predicted model, not a curated record
UCCAAAGGGGAUACCGUUUCAGCAGCCGCCGCAGGAGAUUUGGAUGUCGAGGCGCAUGAGAGGCGAUUUGGAGUUCCAGCAGCCUCCAGCGAUGGAUUUCCCCUAGAUCCAGUACCCGGGGCUGCAGUGUACGAAGGUGCCAGCGAGAACUUCGAUCCAGUGUAUCUCAACAGGGAAGAUGUGGUGCAGCAUGGCGACGGGGAAGCCUCCGCUGUCGUUGCAAAUUAAGCUUGUGGCACCAGCAGAGUCGGCGAUUGGUUUGAAGGUUGUUAUGGAGGUUGGAGAUGAAGCAGUUCAGUCAGGCGAUUCAGAAGAGAGUGUAAGGCAAGAAUCAACUCAGUUCGUACUCCGUAGUGAAGCCCGAUCCCAAAGCACCAGGAUGGUCAAAAAGGCUCAGGAUUGGCAAUGCACCAGUAGAGUGGACACCUUGGCCAGGCGCUUGAACAGUCUGUCACAGAGUUCGCUCCAAACCAGUCUGAAACUGUGAUUAAGCUUGAGCUUGGGAUGAGCUUUGACUCUCUGAACGAAAUGUAUGAUUUGUAUAAUCUGUUUUCUUGGGAAAAUGCUUUUGGUAUCAGGUAU